Molecule: ribosomal RNA, 574 nt
Filed under: uncultured bacterium
Lineage: Bacteria
Description: partial 16S ribosomal RNA
Rfam family: Bacterial small subunit ribosomal RNA
Source: RNAcentral
CGGGGAAUUUUGGACAAUGGGCGAAAGCCUGAUCCAGCAAUGCCGCGUGUGUGAAGAAGGCCUUCGGGUUGUAAAGCACUUUUGUCCGGAAAGAAAUCCUUGGCUCUAAUACAGUCGGGGGAUGACGGUACCGGAAGAAUAAGCACCGGCUAACUACGUGCCAGCAGCCGCGGUAAUACGUAGGGUGCAAGCGUUAAUCGGAAUUACUGGGCGUAAAGCGUGCGCAGGCGGUUCUGUAAGACGGAUGUGAAAUCCCCGGGCUUAACCUGGGAACUGCAUUCGUGACUGCAAGGCUAGAGUAUGGCAGAGGGGGGUAGAAUUCCACGUGUAGCAGUGAAAUGCGUAGAGAUGUGGAGGAAUACCGAUGGCGAAGGCAGCCCCUGGGCCAAUACUGACGCUCAUGCACGAAAGCGUGGGGAGCAAACAGGAUUAGAUACCCUGGUAGUCCACGCCCUAAACGAUGUCAACUAGUUGUUGGGGAUUCAUUUCCUUAGUAACGUAGCUAACGCGUGAAGUUGACCGCCUGGGGAGUACGGUCGCAAGAUUAAAACUCAAAUGAAUUGACGGGGUCAUA